UCCUACCGGGAGGCAGCAGUGGGGAAUAUUGCACAAUGGGCGCAAGCCUGAUGCAGCGACGCCGCGUGAGGGAUGACGGCCUUCGGGUUGUAAACCUCUUUCAGUAGGGAAGAAGCCGUGAGGUGACGGUACCUGCAGAAGAAGCGCCGGCUAACUACGUGCCAGCAGCCGCGGUAAUACGUAGGGCGCAAGCGUUAUCCGGAAUUAUUGGGCGUAAAGAGCUCGUAGGCGGUUUGUCGCGUCUGCUGUGAAAGACCGGGGCUCAACUCCGGUUCUGCAGUGGGUACGGGCAGACUAGAGUGAUGUAGGGGAGACUGGAAUUCCUGGUGUAGCGGUGAAAUGCGCAGAUAUCAGGAGGAACACCGAUGGCGAAGGCAGGUCUCUGGGCAUUAACUGACGCUGAGGAGCGAAAGCAUGGGGAGCGAACAGGAUUAGAUACCCUGGUAGUCCAUGCCGUAAACGUUGGGCAAUGGGUGUGGGGGACAUUCCACGUUUGCCAGGCCGAGUCUCCCCGAUAAGUGCCCCGCCGGGAGACGGCGCAGGAU
RNAcentral lists this ribosomal RNA (545 nucleotides) under Arthrobacter sp. TmMRS2. RNAcentral describes it as "bacterial SSU rRNA". It matches the Rfam family "Bacterial small subunit ribosomal RNA", at positions 337 to 873 of the family's 1533-position model. The record is from RNAcentral. Lineage: Bacteria; Bacillati; Actinomycetota; Actinomycetes; Micrococcales; Micrococcaceae.